Molecule: ribosomal RNA, 224 nt
Filed under: uncultured bacterium
Lineage: Bacteria
Description: partial 16S ribosomal RNA
Rfam family: Bacterial small subunit ribosomal RNA
Source: RNAcentral
UACGUAGGGUGCAAGCGUUGUCCGGAAUUAUUGGGCGUAAAGAGCUCGUAGGCGGUUUGUCGCGUCUGCUGUGAAAACCCGAGGCUCAACCUCGGGCCUGCAGUGGGUACGGGCAGACUAGAGUGCGGUAGGGGUGACUGGAAUUCCUGGUGUAGCGGUGGAAUGCGCAGAUAUCAGGAGGAACACCGAUGGCGAAGGCAGGUCACUGGGCCGCAACUGACGCU